CAAGGGGGCUAUUCCGGAGGUGCUCCACCCGAUCCCAUUCCGAACUCGGAAGUGAAAUCCUCCAGGGUCGAUGAUACUAGGUUUCCUGGGAAAGUAGAUCGUCCCCUUAC
Molecule: ribosomal RNA, 110 nt
Filed under: Candidatus Spechtbacteria bacterium RIFCSPLOWO2_01_FULL_46_10
Lineage: Bacteria; Candidatus Spechtiibacteriota
Source: RNAcentral